AACGAACGCUGGCGGCAGGCCUAACACAUGCAAGUCGAGCGCACCCUUCGGGGCGAGCGGCGGACGGGUUAGUAACGCGUGGGAAUGUACCCUUCUCUAUGGAAUAGCCUCGGGAAACUGAGAGUAAUACCAUAUACGCCCUUCGGGGGAAAGAUUUAUCGGAGAAGGAUCAGCCCGCGUAAGAUUAGAUAGUUGGUGGGGUAAUGGCCUACCAAGUCUACGAUCUUUAGCUGGUUUUAGAGGAUGAUCAGCAACACUGGGACUGAGACACGGCCCAGACUCCUACGGGAGGCAGCAGUGGGGAAUCUUAGACAAUGGGCGCAAGCCUGAUCUAGCCAUGCCGCGUGUGUGAUGAAGGCCUUAGGGUCGUAAAGCACUUUCGCCAGGGAUGAUAAUGACAGUA
RNAcentral lists this ribosomal RNA (403 nucleotides) under Rhodobacteraceae bacterium S52. RNAcentral's name for it is "bacterial SSU rRNA". It matches the Rfam family "Bacterial small subunit ribosomal RNA", at positions 29 to 459 of the family's 1533-position model. The record is from RNAcentral. Lineage: Bacteria; Pseudomonadati; Pseudomonadota; Alphaproteobacteria; Rhodobacterales; Paracoccaceae.